GAACGCUAGCUACAGGCUUAACACAUGCAAGUCGCGGGGCAGCAUGUAUCUGGCUUGCCAGAUACGAUGGCGACCGGCGCACGGGUGAGUAACGCGUAUCCAACCUGCCCCAUAACCACGGCACAGCCCGUCGAAAGGCGGAUUAAUGCCGUAUGAGGUUCCAGAGUAGCAUUAUUGUGGAACGAAAGGAUUGGCGGUUAUGGAUGGGGAUGCGUCCGAUUAGCUUGUUGGCGGGGUAACGGCCCACCAAACCGACGAUGCGUAGGGGUUCUGAGAGGAAGGUCCCCCACACUGGUACUGAGACACGGACCAGACUCCUACGGGAGGCAGCAGUGAGGAAUAUUGGUCAAUGGGCGAGAGCCUGAACCAGCCAAGUAGCGUGCAGGAUGACGGCCCUAUGGGUUGUAAACUGCUUUUAUAAGGGAAUAAAGUGAGUCUCGUGAGACUUUUUGCAUGUACCUUAUGAAUAAGGACCGGCUAAUUCCGUG
Molecule: ribosomal RNA, 488 nt
Filed under: uncultured bacterium
Lineage: Bacteria
Description: bacterial SSU rRNA
Rfam family: Bacterial small subunit ribosomal RNA
Source: RNAcentral